This 165-nucleotide ribosomal RNA is filed under the name Triticum aestivum (bread wheat). RNAcentral's name for it is "partial small subunit ribosomal RNA". The record is from RNAcentral. Lineage: Eukaryota; Viridiplantae; Streptophyta; Magnoliopsida; Poales; Poaceae.
UUAUAGUACCUGCAGAAUUCCUGGAACCAGGAUCCUGCUAACCGGAAAAUGAAAUUGAGAUCAAGAUCCUUGAGCGUGGUGGUUUCGUCAAUCUGAUCAAGGGGCUUGUCUGUCAUGCGCCCAAGCGAAGAUCCUUUCAAGUCAAAACGCCGAUGGAUUGAAUAG